UUAAUAACACUUAGGAAUCUACCUAGUAGUGGGGGAUAGCUCGGGGAAACUCGAAUUAAUACCGCAUACGACCUACGGGAGAAAGGGGGCAGUUUACUGCUCUCGCUAUUAGAUGAGCCUAAGUCGGAUUAGCUAGAUGGUGGGGUAAAGGCCUACCAUGGCGACGAUCUGUAGCUGGUCUGAGAGGAUGAUCAGCCACACCGGGACUGAGACACGGCCCGGACUCCUACGGGAGGCAGCAGUGGGGAAUAUUGGACAAUGGGGGGAACCCUGAUCCAGCCAUGCCGCGUGUGUGAAGAAGGCCUUUUGGUUGUAAAGCACUUUAAGCAGUGAAGAAGACCAUAUGGUUAAUACCCAUAUGCGAUGACAUUAGCUGCAGAAUAAGCACCGGCUAACUCUGUGCCAGCAGCCGCGGUAAUACAGAGGGUGCAAGCGUUAAUCGGAAUUACUGGGCGUAAAGCGAGCGUAGGUGGCUUGAUAAGUCAGAUGUGAAAUCCCCGGGCUUAACCUGGGAACUGCAUCUGAUACUGUUAAGCUAGAGUAGGUGAGAGGGAAGUAGAAUUCCAGGUGUAGCGGUGAAAUGCGUAGAGAUCUGGAGGAAUACCGAUGGCGAAGGCAGCUUCCUGGCAUCAUACUGACACUGAGGCUCGAAAGCGUGGGUAGCAAAACAGGAUUAGAUACCCUGGUAGUCCACGCCGUAAACGAUGUCUACUAGUCGUUGGGUCCCUUGAGGACUUAGUGACGCAGCUAACGCAAUAAGUAGACCGCCUGGGGAGUACGGCCGCAAGGUUAAAACUCAAAUGAAUUGACGGGGGCCCCGCACAAGCGGUGGAGCAUGUGGUUUAAUUUCGAUGCAACGCGAA
RNAcentral lists this ribosomal RNA (863 nucleotides) under Psychrobacter celer. Its description in RNAcentral is "bacterial SSU rRNA". It matches the Rfam family "Bacterial small subunit ribosomal RNA", at positions 107 to 965 of the family's 1533-position model. Lineage: Bacteria; Pseudomonadati; Pseudomonadota; Gammaproteobacteria; Moraxellales; Moraxellaceae. The record is from RNAcentral.